Molecule: ribosomal RNA, 1710 nt
Filed under: Escherichia marmotae
Lineage: Bacteria; Pseudomonadati; Pseudomonadota; Gammaproteobacteria; Enterobacterales; Enterobacteriaceae
Description: partial 23S ribosomal RNA
Rfam family: Bacterial large subunit ribosomal RNA
Source: RNAcentral
GGUUAAGCGACUAAGCGUACACGGUGGAUGCCCUGGCAGUCAGAGGCGAUGAAGGACGUGCUAAUCUGCGAUAAGCGUCGGUAAGGUGAUAUGAACCGUUAUAACCGGCGAUUUCCGAAUGGGGAAACCCAGUGUGAUCCGUCACACUAUCAUUAACUGAAUCCAUAGGUUAAUGAGGCGAACCGGGGGAACUGAAACAUCUAAGUACCCCGAGGAAAAGAAAUCAACCGAGAUUCCCCCAGUAGCGGCGAGCGAACGGGGAGCAGCCCAGAGCCUGAAUCAGUGUGUGUGUUAGUGGAAGCGUCUGGAAAGGCGUGCGAUACAGGGUGACAGCCCCGUACACAAAAAUGCACAUGCUGUGAGCUCGAUGAGUAGGGCGGGACACGUGGUAUCCUGUCUGAAUAUGGGGGGACCAUCCUCCAAGGCUAAAUACUCCUGACUGACCGAUAGUGAACCAGUACCGUGAGGGAAAGGCGAAAAGAACCCCGGCGAGGGGAGUGAAAAAGAACCUGAAACCGUGUACGUACAAGCAGUGGGAGCCUCUUUAUGGGGUGACUGCGUACCUUUUGUAUAAUGGGUCAGCGACUUAUAUUCUGUAGCAAGGUUAACCGAAUAGGGGAGCCGAAGGGAAACCGAGUCUUAACUGGGCGUUAAGUUGCAGGGUAUAGACCCGAAACCCGGUGAUCUAGCCAUGGGCAGGUUGAAGGUUGGGUAACACUAACUGGAGGACCGAACCGACUAAUGUUGAAAAAUUAGCGGAUGACUUGUGGCUGGGGGUGAAAGGCCAAUCAAACCGGGAGAUAGCUGGUUCUCCCCGAAAGCUAUUUAGGUAGCGCCUCGUGAAUUCAUCUCCGGGGGUAGAGCACUGUUUCGGCAAGGGGGUCAUCCCGACUUACCAACCCGAUGCAAACUGCGAAUACCGGAGAAUGUUAUCACGGGAGACACACGGCGGGUGCUAACGUCCGUCGUGAAGAGGGAAACAACCCAGACCGCCAGCUAAGGUCCCAAAGUCAUGGUUAAGUGGGAAACGAUGUGGGAAGGCCCAGACAGCCAGGAUGUUGGCUUAGAAGCAGCCAUCAUUUAAAGAAAGCGUAAUAGCUCACUGGUCGAGUCGGCCUGCGCGGAAGAUGUAACGGGGCUAAACCAUGCACCGAAGCUGCGGCAGCGACACUAUGUGUUGUUGGGUAGGGGAGCGUUCUGUAAGCCGUUGAAGGUGGCCUGUGAGGGUUGCUGGAGGUAUCAGAAGUGCGAAUGCUGACAUAAGUAACGAUAAAGCGGGUGAAAAGCCCGCUCGCCGGAAGACCAAGGGUUCCUGUCCAACGUUAAUCGGGGCAGGGUGAGUCGACCCCUAAGGCGAGGCCGAAAGGCGUAGUCGAUGGGAAACAGGUUAAUAUUCCUGUACUUGGUGUUACUGCGAAGGGGGGACGGAGAAGGCUAUGUUGGCCGGGCGACGGUUGUCCCGGUUUAAGCGUGUAGGCUGAUUUUCCAGGCAAAUCCGGAGAAUCAAGGCUGAGGCGUGAUGACGAGGCACUACGGUGCUGAAGCAACAAAUGCCCUGCUUCCAGGAAAAGCCUCUAAGCAUCAGGUAACAUCAAAUCGUACCCCAAACCGACACAGGUGGUCAGGUAGAGAAUACCAAGGCGCUUGAGAGAACUCGGGUGAAGGAACUAGGCAAAAUGGUGCCGUAACUUCGGGAGAAGGCACGCUGAU